UAAAUAGCCAGGCCGGCUUUCGCUGGUCGCCGGCUUCUUAGAGGGACUGUCAGCGUCUAGCUGACGGAAGUUUGAGGCAAUAACAGGUCUGUGAUGCCCUUAGAUGUUCUGGGCCGCACGGUACGUAAUUACUUUUUAUUUCCCCCACCCUACCCUACCUUCCACGUUUUCUGGACAUUAACUAACGAUUUUAUAGCGCGCUACACUGACAGAGCCAGCGAGUACAUCACCUUGGCCGAAAGGUCUG
Molecule: ribosomal RNA, 247 nt
Filed under: Lecanorales sp.
Lineage: Eukaryota; Fungi; Ascomycota; Lecanoromycetes; Lecanorales
Description: partial small subunit ribosomal RNA
Rfam family: Eukaryotic small subunit ribosomal RNA (bases 1-120)
Source: RNAcentral